RNAcentral lists this ribosomal RNA (301 nucleotides) under uncultured bacterium. RNAcentral's name for it is "partial 16S ribosomal RNA". It matches the Rfam family "Bacterial small subunit ribosomal RNA", at positions 509 to 807 of the family's 1533-position model. The record is from RNAcentral.
CAGUCGCCACGGUAAUACGGAGGGGGCUAGCGUUGUUCGGAAUUACUGGGCGUAAAGCGCACGUAGGCGGCUUGGUAAGUUAGAGGUGAAAGCCUGGAGCUCAACUCCAGAAUUGCCUUUAAGACUGCCGAGCUAGCAGGUGAGAGAGGUAAGUGGAAUUCCGAGUGUAGAGGUGAAAUUCGUAGAUAUUCGGAGGAACACCAGAGGCGAAGGCGGCUCACUGGUCCAUUACUGACGCUGAGGUGCGAAAGCGUGGGGAGCAAACAGGAUUAGAGACCCCUGUAGUCCCUGUCUCUUAUAC